Molecule: ribosomal RNA, 512 nt
Filed under: uncultured bacterium
Lineage: Bacteria
Description: bacterial SSU rRNA
Rfam family: Bacterial small subunit ribosomal RNA
Source: RNAcentral
GAUUAUGGCUCAGGAUGAACGCUAGCGAUAGGCCUAACACAUGCAAGUCGAGGGGCAGCACAUGAGUAGCAAUACGAUGGUGGCGACCGGCGCACGGGUGAGUAACACGUAUGCAACCUACCUUUAACAGGGGAAUAACCCGUUGAAAAACGGACUAAUACUCCAUAACACAGGGGUCCCGCAUGGGAAUAUUUGUUAAAGAUUAAUCGGUUGAAGAUGGGCAUGCGUUCCAUUAGCUUGUUGGUGAGGUAACGGCUCACCAAGGCCACGAUGGAUAGGGGAACUGAGAGGUUUAUCCCCACACUGGAACUGAGACACGGUCCAGACUCCUACGGGAGGCAGCAGUGAGGAAUAUUGGUCAAUGGAGGCAACUCUGAACCAGCCAAGUCGCGUGAAGGAAUGAAGGUCUUAUGGAUUGUAAACUUCUUUUGCAAGGGAAUAAAGUGGGGGACGUGUCCUCCUUUGCAUGUACCUUGCGAAUAAGGAUCGGCUAACUCCGUGCCAGCAGCAGC